Non-coding RNA from Macaca mulatta (Rhesus monkey), 5869 nucleotides. Lineage: Eukaryota; Metazoa; Chordata; Mammalia; Primates; Cercopithecidae. The record is from RefSeq and is a predicted model, not a curated record.
UUUUCUAAUAGUUUAAAAUUUACUGUAAGUGUUAACACUUUUUACAUUUCAAAAUUAUGUGCUUUUAAUCACUUUACAGAGAACAUUUAGGUGGCAUUAUAAUCAAAAUUACAAUGUCAAGUGAAGGUAAUGUGUUACUGAUUAAAAAUAAUUUAUUUAAGAAUAUUCAGAAUAUAAAUAUAAGACAAAAGAAGAAAACUUAAAAUACCCAUAACAUUCUCCACAACAUAACCAUUCUGAACACAUUGAUAUAAACCUUUCCAGGUGCCAGUGGGUUCUUGAUCCGAAUUUAUUUACAUAACUUCAAUAUAUUGCAGUGGGGGCUUUUCAAAUAGGAAAAUUAAAGCUACAAAUGUUAUUUGAAGUCUUUGUUUUUAUAUGAUUUUGGUUAAAUAGGUGCAGAGUCUCUGAUGACAUUACCAACUCUUAACACACUGAAUAUGCUUAAUAAAUUGCAAAGCACAUAGAUAGAAAUGCUAUAUAUGUGUAAAUAUAUGUUCCUUGACAUGAAAAAGAGAAAAAAGGAUUCAUUGAAGAUAGUAUUUCAAUUAAGGCAUUAGAGUAUUUCACGUAGGUCUAACCUGAAUAUGAAAGAAACCCACAUCAAUACUAUUCAUCAAAUAACAACUAACUAAUUGAGCACUCACUAUGUCUGUAUACUAUUUAUCUUUUGCAUGAGAUGAUUGCCAUUAUCCUAAUUCUAUAGGAGAGAAAUGUGAGAUACAGAGAUAAUAAAAACAUUUAGGGACAAGAGAAUAUAAAUGAUAGAGCUAGAAGUUGGCCACAUAUAUCCAAUGUAAGAGUUUACUUUCUUAACCAUUCUGCAUUACUGAUUCAUAAUUGUAGAUGGCGAUUCUAGGUGCUGUUAAUAAUAAUGGUAGAUUCAUUCCACCCCAUCUCAUGAACUCUGAGAGAAAUUCUGGACAGUCUGGAGUUAUCUAUAUUCAGUAAGAGAUCCCUAAAUGGAAUUAACUUGACUGCUGCAAAUGGAACACUAUAAGAAUUCAUGGAGUGACUAUUGUGCAAGAGCCCCUGAGGACUGGCUGCUGUGAAGUUUGACACAGUUCUAAUUUGGUUUCCUUUCAAAAGAGAUCUCCUCAGUGCUUGUCUUAAUGACAAUUGUAAGGGAAGAGCCUUCCAAUAGCAAGACUUGAUUAUCACAUGGAGAAAAGUGGCUUGAAGUAUGAGUAUACACAGGCUCCCCAGCAGGAGGGAGUGGCUUUUGCUGAUUGAUCAAGGUUCUAGAAGGUACAAUAUUUGAAGACUAGGGACAAAAAUCUCUCAAGAAAAUGUAUAUGGGCACAUCUAUGAGAAAAGCCAGAGAGCGCGUGACUAUUAAUGAGUCUAUGCCACAGAAGAAAUUUUAAAAAUAUUUUAGAUUAAUAGAAUGACUCAUCCUAUGGACAUAAGUCUAUUUCCUUUCAGUCAUCUAUUUCUGUUCAGUGCUGAUUCAGUGAACAGAGCAACCCUGGAGACAAAGGUAGAAAAUUUAUAUGAACCACCAUGAUUAGUUCUCUUUAAACUCAGAUCCCUGAUGAGUUAAUCACACCUCCGAAUGACCAACUAUGUGCCUUAGAGACUAAUGCUGAACAAUUUAUAUGGCAUCAUUCCUAAAUACACAAUCAUUUCUUUGGUGGCAAUUAAAUGAUAUUGGACCAUUUCUUAGAGGGAAUGGGUCAUACUUGAAUUACCUCUUACCAUGGAUAUGGGCUUGUCUUUCCUGUCCACAGUGCAACUGCUAGCAUUACUAACAGCACAACUAAUCAUGAGUUUACAUCAUAGCUGAUCUAUUAAAAUCAUAUUCCACAUAAUAUUCCUGCAAAGGAUUGCACACAUUUAUAAAAAGUGAGGAGCCAUAAUGGGUGUACAGCCAUGGAAUACACCAGUCUUAUACAACCUAUUAAUCAGAAGCAGUUGACCAAUGGUAUGGUUUGCUAAAGGCUCAGACAGUGCAUCAGAUUAGGGAUUAUACUCUCCAGAUUACAGCACUGCUUUUCAGGAUGCAGCAUAUGCAUUGGAGUAUCAGCUGAUACAUGGUAUUUUGUGCUCUAUAGAUUGAAUGUGUGGACCAAGAGGUGGAAGUAGGAUUGCCUCUACUACUUUUACUUCUAGUGAACCAAACAUACAAUUUGUUUUCAGUUACCUAAUUUCAGUUACCUUAGGCUCUGCUUGUUUACAAGUGAUGGUUUUCAGCAGAAACAACUCAGCUAAAAGACAGAGUAAGGGCUCCACUGAACUUGAAGUCGUAACUGCUCCCUGGCCUUUCGGGACUCUUCGUGUUACUGGUACUAACUGUACUAGCAGGAGGAAGAAGUAAUUACUUCUAGUCAUCAUCAGGAAGCAAGUUUACUUCUAUGAAACGGGAGUAGGGUAGGUUAUGCCUCGAAUACAACAAAUUCAUUGGGAAAUGGCUUGGUCUUUCUGUGCCCAGUGAUUAAAUAGCCCAAGAGGACAGCAAAGUAAGGAUACAAAUCCUUGGGGGUAGCCUUCUAGUUCUAGGUCACACCAGUAGGCAAACAAGCAAUUCAGGUCAGCUGUGGUGCUGGUCUAAGAUGAGGGAAAUACAGAGUCAUAAUAGAGAAGGAAAAUUAUGAAUAUCAAUUACAAUAUUUGGACAAGUUGCAGCAACAGAGAUUAUUUUGUUUUACCUUACCUCUCUGUCCAGCUGUCACUAUGGUGACAACACACGUUCCCUCUGCUGGAAUGCAUUUUCUUCUUAAUGUUCAUUCUCACACACCAUUCAAGUCUGUUCAAAUGUUACCCUCUUAAUGGUGUCUUCCUGAUUAUUUUAAAUUACAUUUUUUUCCUACUCUUCAGUUUUUCUGUCCCCUCUUUUCCUGCUCUACAUCACAUUUAGCAAUUUUAAAUAAAAUUACUUACAUAAAUGUAUGCAUUAAUUACUUAUUAAUAGAUAUUUUUGUUGUUUAUCUCUCUCCUUAUAUGUAAAAUUCACAUGGUCAAGAAUUUCUGAGUUUUUUUUUUUUUCACUAUUGUACCCCUAUCAUCCAGUAGAGUUCCUGGCUCAUAGCAAAUAUUUAAUGAAUAUUUAUAAAACAGAUGAAUUAAUUCACUUUAUAUUUUGGAUGAUGACUCCUGAAUCUACAUCUUCAACCUGCACAUCCAAAUUUAUCUCUUACUCCAUGCUUUCAGGUUACAUACGGGCCAGAGGUAACAUUAUGUAUAAGCAGAGUUGGCAGGAUGUCGUAUGGCAUAAUUUUAGUGCAGAAUUGAAGACUUUUUUUUCUCAUAUGCCAAAGAAUACCCCCCUUAGCUUGAUUAUUAAUAUUUCACAUUUUUUACAGGGAAUAAUAAUAAGGUUAAAAUAUAUAUAGUAUUGGGAGAAGUAAGUAUUUAUACAAAUCUAUUCCCACUGUAUUGAAAGGGUUUAUAUUAAGUAAAAUUAAGGAUGGGAAACCUAGGAACGCUAAGUAGCAGAGGCUGCAGUGAAAGUGUAAGAAAGAAUAUUUUUAAAGUAAGGGUUAGAGAUUAAAAAGCAAAUUCUACCUUCAAACUGUUUAGCAAGCCUCUGUAGUUUUCUCAAGCUUACCGCGCUUGCCCUAAAGUGUUAUUACUUCGUGUUUAUACUACCACAUCUUUCCAUCAACUUAAUUCCUUCACACACCUUCUCAGCUUCAGUCAGUGGACUAUCAUUUUUUCAUCUUUCUGAGCUAGGAAAUUUUUUAGAUCUUCUCUCUUCUUUGUUCACCAUAUAUAAGUCAGUCAUCUAGUUUUUGUCGACUCUUAUGUCAGGAUCUUUAACAGUGAAAUCAAGACUCCACAAAGUGUAGACUACACCUGCACUGCCAUUUACUGUGUGGAGAUUAUGUUAAAAAAUGAAUUACCCCUUGCUUGACUCUAACCCCUAUGUUUCUUGCCAUUCCAUUUAUAUAGCCUCCUCCACAAAAUGUCCUUAAAAGUUGUAUCUACACUUAAUAUUCAUCUCGAAUGUCAUCUUCCACUUUGGGAAACAUCAAAGUGAUGACAUUUCUUCCUACCUUAAACUUCCUCCCUAGGUCUCUCUACUGGCAUUUUAUCUCUUGACUCCCUUGACUUACAUCAUUUUCUGUUAAUGUUAUCUGUGCACUUACUUUCCCACCAUUACACGAAGAGUGUCUAAAUCGCUGAGACUGUUCUUUAAAUCCCCAACAAUCCUCACAAGCAUUUAUUAAACAAGAAUGAAUAAUGUCACUCCAGGUAUAAUUUAUCCUCCACUUUUUUCCUGAAAGGAUCUCUGGAUCUCGUUGAUGCUGCCUCUAGGAUAAAUUUUUAUACCUCUCAUCAUGUCCUCCGAUUCACUAGCUCUCACCAAUGUGCUUCAGUUAACUAAUUCAAUCUUAUUUUCUAUGGUGCUCCUUACCCCAAUUACUUCAGUAUUCAAAUAGUUAAGUUUCUUGACAAUUAUAGAGAAAUAAUUAUGUAUGGACAGAACUUAGGACCAGAGACAGAAAUGGAAAGUGAAAACAAAGGUGUUCUCUCCACCUCUCAGAGUCUUUAUAGUCUUGUCUCUAUUUUUAUCAUUUUCUCUCUUGAUUGCCAUACUCUUGCAUUCAAGCUGAGUAUCCAACAAACAUCUAUGUAUUCUUCAAACUCCAUGCAUGCACUGUAAUUUUUAUGUUAAUUCCAUUUAUUAUUUCUAAAGGAAAUUUAAUUAGCUUGGCCCAGGACAAAUGUUGUUUUUGCAGGGACCAGAGAGGCCCUUGGUACAAUCAGCUGAGACCAGAGUGAAGAAGUGAGGGUGCAAAUACACUUCAAAACAGGAUUGUGGACAAGGAACGCAAGACAAAACACUGAAUAUUUCAUUUUUACUGAAUGUAACUAGGAAAUAAUAAUUUAUGCAGAACCAGUCAGGAUAGAAAUAUGGCUUUCAUUAGGUUUUUAAAAAUAACUGGAGACCUCAUUAUGAUUUUAUUACCAUCAUUUAACUAGAACCCCAAUCAUAGAAUCAUUGAUUUUAAUGCUCAUUUGGAUACUUUAUCAGUGUGUUUCCUUGACAAGAAGACAUCAUAAUAAAAUUACUCAUGCAAGAGAUUUCCUGGAUGAAACGCCUAUAAAGAAUAAAGGAGGAAGGAGAAGAGGUGAGAGGGAGCUUCAGAUUCCAAUGCAGGCUGAGAAACUGACAUAAAUGGAAUGCAUUCUCCACAGUUCAUGUAUUGAAAACAACCCUUAAUGCAACAGUCUCAGGAGGUAGAACCUAACAUAACAUGUUUAGGUCAGGAGGGCUCUACCAUCAUGAAUGGAUGAAUGCUGUUACGGCAGGAGUGGGUCUGUUAUAAAAGUGAGCUUGGCUCUCUCAUGCCCUCUCUCUCCUGUUCUCUGUCAUCCUGUUGCCUUCCACUACAGGAUCAUGAUAAGACGGCCCUCAUCAGAGAUGUGGUCCCUCAAUUUUGAACGUUUCAGCCUCCAGAACCGUGAGCCAAAUAAACUUCUGUUGUUUGUAAUAACCCAGUCUAUGGUAUUCUGUUAUAGCAGCUUAAAACCAACUAAGAUGGCACCUGUGAAAGGAAAGAAGAAAGGAGGAUCAGGGAAGAGCCUCAGUCUGUAGUGAUGCUCUGAGAAAGCUGUGAUCUGCCCGACGGGAAGCCCGAGAGCAAAACUUGCCUAUUAGAUGAGUUACACAUUAGGCAACAGUGGAAUGCCUGGAGUACCCCCGCCGUGCACAGCGAUUAGAUGGAAGGAGCCUGAGGAGAGCAAAGUCUCAGUGUGAAUGGCGCAUCUAACUAUACCCCUUUCAGCAGGUUUUCUCAUGAAAGGUCUGAGCAGUGCAUUCCUAUGCCUUCCUGAGCCACUGACUUGUCCUGUUCUCUGUGACAUCUUCUUCCCAACAGAAUGUAAGCACCACAAAAUAAAGCAACGUACAUCUUUGUACUGA